This 493-nucleotide ribosomal RNA is filed under the name uncultured bacterium. RNAcentral's name for it is "partial 16S ribosomal RNA". It matches the Rfam family "Bacterial small subunit ribosomal RNA", at positions 28 to 507 of the family's 1533-position model. The record is from RNAcentral.
GACGAACGCUGGCGGCGUGCUUAACACAUGCAAGUCGAACGGUGAAGCGCCUUCCUUUUUGGUGGUUUGGGUGGGUUGCCGACCGGUGGGUUAACCGUUGGUAACCCUCCCCCUUUUUUUUGAUUACCCCCUUGAAGUUUUGCCUAUUAGGGGUUAUUCUGGUUCUUUCGCAUGUUGGUCCUGGGAAGGUUUUUGUUUCGGUGGGGGUGGGCUUGCGGCCUAUCAGCUUGUUGGUGGGGUGAUGGCCUACCAAGGCGGUGACGGGUAGCCGGCCUGAGAGGGUGGACGGUCACACUGGGACUGAGACACGGCCCAGACUCCUACGGGAGGCAGCAGUGGGGAAUAUUGCACAAUGGGCGCAAGCCUGAUGCAGCGACGCCGCGUGAGGGAUGGAGGCCUUCGGGUUGUGAACCUCUUUCGCCAGUGAAGCAGGCCUGCCUCGUGUGUGGGUGGGUUGACGGUAGCUGGAUAAGAAGCGCCGGCUAACUACGUG